CCUACGGGUGACAGCAGUGAGGAAUAUUGGUCAAUGGACGAGAGUCUGAACCAGCCAAGUAGCGUGAAGGAUGACUGCCCUAUGGGUUGUAAACUUCUUUUAUAAAGGAAUAAAACGAGGCACGUGUGCCUUUUGCAUGUACUUUAUGAAUAAGGAUCGGCUAACUCCGUGCCAGCAGCCGCGGUAAUACGGAGGAUCCGAGCGUUAUCCGGAUUUAUUGGGUUUAAAGGGAGCGUAGAUGGGUUGUUAAGUCAGUUGUGAAAGUUUGCGGCUCAACCGUAAAAUUGCAAUUGAUACUGGCAGUCUUGAGUACAGUUGAGGUAAGCGGAAUUCGUGGUGUAGCGGUGAAAUGCUUAGAUAUCACGAAGAACCCCGAUUGCGAAGGCAGCUUACUAAACUGUGACUGACAUUGAUGCUCGAAAGCGUGGGGAGCAAACAGGAUUAGAUACCCCAGUAGUC
Molecule: ribosomal RNA, 459 nt
Filed under: uncultured bacterium
Lineage: Bacteria
Description: partial 16S ribosomal RNA
Rfam family: Bacterial small subunit ribosomal RNA
Source: RNAcentral